GUAAGUAUAGCUCAGUGGUAGCGUAUGUGCUUAGCAUGCACAAGGUCCUGGGUUCAAGCCCCAGUUCAACCA
Molecule: transfer RNA, 72 nt
Filed under: Camelus bactrianus (Bactrian camel)
Lineage: Eukaryota; Metazoa; Chordata; Mammalia; Artiodactyla; Camelidae
Also listed under: 2 other names
Rfam family: tRNA
About the family: Transfer RNA (tRNA) molecules are approximately 80 nucleotides in length. Their secondary structure includes four short double-helical elements and three loops (D, anti-codon, and T loops).
Source: Rfam by way of RNAcentral